RNAcentral lists this ribosomal RNA (433 nucleotides) under uncultured bacterium. RNAcentral describes it as "partial 16S ribosomal RNA". It matches the Rfam family "Bacterial small subunit ribosomal RNA", at positions 29 to 507 of the family's 1533-position model. The record is from RNAcentral.
AACGAACGCUGGCGGCAUGCCUAACACAUGCAAGUCGAACGAGACCUUCGGGUCUAGUGGCGCACGGGUGAGUAACGCGUGGGAACCUGCCCUUAGGUUCGGAAUAACUCCCCGAAAGGGGUGCUAAUACCGGAUAAUGUCUUCGGACCAAAGAUUUAUCGCCUUUGGAUGGGCCCGCGUUGGAUUAGCUGGUUGGUAGGGUAAAAGCCUACCAAGGCGACGAUCCAUAGCUGGUCUGAUAGGAUGAUCAGCCACACUGGGACUGAGACACGGCCCAGACUCCUACGGGAGGCAGCAGUGGGGAAUAUUGGACAAUGGGCGAAAGCCUGAUCCAGCCAUGCCGCGUGAGUGAUGAAGGCCUUAGGGUUGUAAAGCUCUUUUACCCGGGAUGAUAAUGACAGUACCGGGAGAAUAAGCACCGGCUAACUCCGUG